GCCUGGGUGGCUCAGCUGGUUAAGCAUCUGACUUCGAAUCAGAUGAUCUCACAGUCCAUGCG
Molecule: transfer RNA, 62 nt
Organism: Felis catus (domestic cat)
Lineage: Eukaryota; Metazoa; Chordata; Mammalia; Carnivora; Felidae
Rfam family: tRNA
About the family: Transfer RNA (tRNA) molecules are approximately 80 nucleotides in length. Their secondary structure includes four short double-helical elements and three loops (D, anti-codon, and T loops).
Source: Rfam